RNAcentral lists this ribosomal RNA (585 nucleotides) under uncultured beta proteobacterium. RNAcentral's name for it is "bacterial SSU rRNA". It matches the Rfam family "Bacterial small subunit ribosomal RNA", at positions 338 to 916 of the family's 1533-position model. The record is from RNAcentral. Lineage: Bacteria; Pseudomonadati; Pseudomonadota; Betaproteobacteria.
CCUACGGGAGGCAGCAGUGGGGAAUUUUGGACAAUGGGGGAAACCCUGAUCCAGCAAUGCCGCGUGUGUGAAGAAGGCCUUCGGGUUGUAAAGCACUUUUGUCAGGAACGAAACGGUGGGGGCUAAUAUCCUCUGCUAAUGACGGUACCUGAAGAAUAAGCACCGGCUAACUACGUGCCAGCAGCCGCGGUAAUACGUAGGGUGCGAGCGUUAAUCGGAAUUACUGGGCGUAAAGCGUGCGCAGGCGGUUGUGCAAGACAGAUGUGAAAUCCCCGGGCUUAACCUGGGAAUUGCAUUGGUGACUGCACGGCUAGAGUGUGUCAGAGGGGGGUAGAAUUCCACGUGUAGCAGUGAAAUGCGUAGAUAUGUGGAGGAAUACCGAUGGCGAAGGCAGCCCCCUGGGAUAACACUGACGCUCAUGCACGAAAGCGUGGGGAGCAAACAGGAUUAGAUACCCUGGUAGUCCACGCCCUAAACGAUGUCUACUAGUUGUCGGGUCUUAAUUGACUUGGUAACGCAGCUAACGCGUGAAGUAGACCGCCUGGGGAGUACGGUCGCAAGAUUAAAACUCAAAGGAAUUGACGG